RNAcentral lists this transfer RNA (77 nucleotides) under Phycisphaerae bacterium. RNAcentral describes it as "tRNA-Pro". It matches the Rfam family "tRNA". From Rfam's summary of the family: Transfer RNA (tRNA) molecules are approximately 80 nucleotides in length. Their secondary structure includes four short double-helical elements and three loops (D, anti-codon, and T loops). Lineage: Bacteria; Pseudomonadati; Planctomycetota; Phycisphaerae. The record is from RNAcentral. RNAcentral also lists the same sequence under 1 other name.
CGGGCUGUAGCGCAGCUUGGUAGCGCGCCAUACUGGGGGUGUGGAGGUCGCAGGUUCAAAUCCUGUCAGCCCGACCU